GACGGAGGAUGCAAGCGUUAUCCGGAUUCACUGGGUUUAAAGGGCGCGUAGGCGGUCAGCACAAGUCAGUUGUGAAAUCUCCGAGCUUAACUCGGAAAGGUCAACUGAUACUGUGCGACUAGAGUGCGGAAGGGGCAACUGGAAUUCUUGGUGUAGCGGUGAAAUGCGUAGAUAUCAAGAGGAACACCUGCGGCGAAGGCGGGUUGCUGGGCCGACACUGACGCUGAGGCGCGAAAGCUAGGGGAGCGAACGGG
Molecule: ribosomal RNA, 254 nt
Filed under: uncultured bacterium
Lineage: Bacteria
Description: partial 16S ribosomal RNA
Rfam family: Bacterial small subunit ribosomal RNA
Source: RNAcentral